GUCUUUUAGUGAAUAUAAGGCGAAAGAAGACUGAAAAUCCCCGUGUCGGCAGUUCGAUUCUGUCCCUGGCCACCA
RNAcentral lists this transfer RNA (75 nucleotides) under Candidatus Thiodiazotropha endolucinida. Its description in RNAcentral is "tRNA-Phe". Lineage: Bacteria; Pseudomonadati; Pseudomonadota; Gammaproteobacteria; Chromatiales; Sedimenticolaceae. The record is from RNAcentral.